AUUGAACGCUGGCGGCAGGCUUAACACAUGCAAGUCGAGCGGGGUGAUGGUGCUUGCACUAUCACUUAGCGGCGGACGGGUGAGUAAUGCUUAGGAAUCUGCCUAUUAGUGGGGGACAACAUCUCGAGAGGGAUGCUAAUACCGCAUACGUCCUACGGGAGAAAGCAGGGGAUCACUUGUGACCUUGCGCUAAUAGAUGAGCCUAAGUCGGAUUAGCUAGUUGGUGGGGUAAAGGCCUACCAAGGCGACGAUCUGUAGCGGGUCUGAGAGGAUGAUCCGCCACACUGGGACUGAGACACGGCCCAGACUCCUACGGGAGGCAGCAGUGGGGAAUAGUGGACAAUGGGGGGAACCCUGAUCCAGCCAUGCCGCGUGUGUGAAGAAGGCCUUAUGGUUGUAAAGCACUUUAAGCGAGGAGGAGGCUCUUUUGGUUAAUACCCAGAAUGAGUGGACGUUACUCGCAGAAUAAGCACCGGCUAACUCUGUGCCAGCAGCCGCCGUAA
RNAcentral lists this ribosomal RNA (503 nucleotides) under uncultured bacterium. Its description in RNAcentral is "partial 16S ribosomal RNA". It matches the Rfam family "Bacterial small subunit ribosomal RNA", at positions 30 to 523 of the family's 1533-position model. The record is from RNAcentral.